UUUUUUUUUUUUUACGUUAAUUUAAUACUAUUGUUAAAUUUUUUUGUUCUAAUUUUAUUUUCUCUUUUUUUUUUUUUUUUUUUUUUUAUACAGUUUUUUUUUGUUAUAAUUUUUUUUUUUUUUUUUUUUUUUUUUUUUUUGGUAAAUACAGUUUUGCAUUGUAACAUGUUAUGUCGUUAUUUCUAGAUUUAUAAAUAUACUUUUUCUGUUGUUUAUUAAUAAAAUUAUAUUAUCAAAAAAAUUUAUAUUAUUUAACAUAUAUAAGUUGAAAUAGAACUAAAAAAAAAUGCAUUAAAUCUACCUGUAACGUAAAAAAAGCUACUGAUAAAUAUUUACUAAAAUCAUUAUUAUAUAGUAAUUGCUGAUAAAAAAAAUGUUUACAACAAUUUAUAAAAUAAUUAUUGCUUCAUUUUUUAUAUGGGCAUGGACUAAUAACAACAAAGAUCGGCUAGAAAAUAUAAUAAGACCAAAAUAUGGUAGAUCACUGACCCAACGUGAUAUCUCCCCAAACCAACAAAAUAACCAUUAUUAUGUAGCACAUAAUGACAAUAACCACUUUUAUAAACAGUUUGAACAAUACAUUAGUAACAAUGAUCCAAAUACGAGUGCUUUUAAAUAUGAUGAUCAUUGUCCAAAAAUAUCAACUUAUGUCACUCCUAUUAAAAAAGAAUUAAUUAAAAUAUUAGAUAACCUACAGGAUCCCCUAUUAAAUGAUAUACUAAAAAAAAAUAGAAACAUACAAAAUAAUGAUUUACUAGAAAUAUAUGACCAUAUUAAACAUAUCAUUUCAAGUGAACAAUAUUUAAAAAUUCUAAAAGAAAGUUGUGAGUUAUUAAAAAGUAGAGGUUCUAAUAACUUUUCUGAAACAAAUUACAACUCGAUUUUACACUUAUUGGAUACAUAUUUCUUUUUUACGGACAAUAAAAAAAAAUUUAAAGAACGCCUUAUGCAAUUACAACAAGAUAAUCAGGAACAACCAACAUUCACAAAAAAAAAAAAGUUUAAAGCAAAAUAUUUAAAUAUAUUUAAACUCAGUGAAAAAAUGAAUAAAGAAUUGAAGACUGUGUUAUUUAAGCAAAUAAUAAAAAAAAAAAUUGAUACAGUUGCACAAAAGCCAUUUAAAUAUGUGCCUAAGAUUUUUAUUUAUUCAUUUUAUAAACCAUUAUUAUUAUAUAUGAUUUUAAUAUUGAUCACACCUUUUGGGAUAGCUCCUCUUGCAUUAACAAUAAUUGGAAUGAUCAUAUCAACAUAUACACACUCUAUAUAUAAACUUUAUAAAAACAUAACAGCCAUAAAGGGAAUUGUAAAAGGGUCAGAACUAUCAGACAGGAAAAGCUUUAGUUAACAAUAAGCACCACUUAUUUUUAUAAUAAAUAUAUAAUUUGUUAAAAUAAUUAUAAAUGU
Molecule: long non-coding RNA, 1404 nt
Filed under: Piliocolobus tephrosceles (Ugandan red Colobus)
Lineage: Eukaryota; Metazoa; Chordata; Mammalia; Primates; Cercopithecidae
Description: lncRNA (ENSPTEG00000015294.1)
Source: RNAcentral